CAUAUAUACCGCUCUAUCGCUUUCGGAAUGCCGGAAGAGGAAAGUCCGGACAACGUAGAGUACCACACCAUCUAACGGAUGGGAUUUCUCCAAAAGAGGAGUACAGCAUAGUGUCACAGAAAAUAACCGCCUUCGGGUAAGGGUGAAAAUGAGAGGUAAGAGCUCUCGUGGUGGUGCAGCAAUGUGUCAUCAGGACAAACCUUGUGGGUUGAAAUGUCAUGUAUAUCCAUAUCUUCUUGUAAGAAAAACUGACUCGGUUUUUUAGCUUAACGGCUUAUGUGGAGGGGUAGGCAGCUUAGAUAAAUGAUAGAGGGCAUGCAGCAAUGUAUGUUACAGAAUCCGGCUUAUAGGUAUAUAUUUUUA
Molecule: RNase P RNA, 363 nt
Filed under: Darwinula stevensoni
Lineage: Eukaryota; Metazoa; Arthropoda; Ostracoda; Podocopida; Darwinulidae
Also listed under: 1 other name
Description: Bacterial RNase P class A
Rfam family: Bacterial RNase P class A
About the family: Ribonuclease P (RNase P) is a ubiquitous endoribonuclease, found in archaea, bacteria and eukarya as well as chloroplasts and mitochondria. Its best characterised activity is the generation of mature 5'-ends of tRNAs by cleaving the 5'-leader elements of precursor-tRNAs. Cellular RNase Ps are ribonucleoproteins.
Source: Rfam by way of RNAcentral